UUCGCAAUGCCCGAAAGGGUGACGAAGCGACGCCGCGUGCGGGAAGAAGGCCUUCGGGUUGUAAACCGCUGUCGGGAGUUAAGAAAUGUAAGGAUGUUAAUAGCAUCUUUGCUUGACUAAGGCUCCGGAGGAAGCCACGGCUAACUCUGUGCCAGCAGCCGCGGUAAUACAGAGGCGGCAAGCGUUGUUCGGAAUUAUUGGGCGUAAAGAGCACGUAGGCGGCUAUGUAAGUCGGUUGUGAAAGCCUUCCGCUCAACGGGAGAACAGCAUCCGAUACUGCAUGGCUUGAGUGCGGGAGGGGAGAGUGGAACUUCUGGUGGAGCGGUGAAAUGCGUAGAUAUCAGAAGGAACGCCGGCGGCGAAAGCGGCUCUCUGGCCCAUAACUGACGCUGAGUGUGCGAAAGCUAGGGGAGCAAGCGGGAUUAGAUACCCCGGUAGUCCUAGCCGUAAACGAUGGGCACUAAGUAGAGGGGUUUU
Molecule: ribosomal RNA, 477 nt
Filed under: uncultured Planctomycetales bacterium
Lineage: Bacteria; Pseudomonadati; Planctomycetota; Planctomycetia; Planctomycetales
Description: bacterial SSU rRNA
Rfam family: Bacterial small subunit ribosomal RNA
Source: RNAcentral